RNAcentral lists this transfer RNA (64 nucleotides) under Scyllarides latus (Mediterranean slipper lobster). RNAcentral's name for it is "tRNA-Tyr". It matches the Rfam family "tRNA". From Rfam's summary of the family: Transfer RNA (tRNA) molecules are approximately 80 nucleotides in length. Their secondary structure includes four short double-helical elements and three loops (D, anti-codon, and T loops). Lineage: Eukaryota; Metazoa; Arthropoda; Malacostraca; Decapoda; Scyllaridae. The record is from RNAcentral.
GAUAGGAUGGCUGAAGAUCAGGCGAUAGAUUGUAAAUUUAUUUAUGAGGAUACCUCUCCUGUUA